RNAcentral lists this ribosomal RNA (253 nucleotides) under uncultured bacterium. RNAcentral describes it as "partial 16S ribosomal RNA". It matches the Rfam family "Bacterial small subunit ribosomal RNA", at positions 524 to 776 of the family's 1533-position model. The record is from RNAcentral.
UACGAAGGGGGCUAGCGUUGUUCGGAAUUACUGGGCGUAAAGCGCGCGCAGGCGGUCUUCCAAGUCAGUGGUGAAAGCCCGGAGCUCAACUCCGGAACUGCCAUUGAAACUGUAAGACUUGAGGAUGAGAGAGGCGAGUGGAAUUCCCAGUGUAGAGGUGAAAUUCGUAGAUAUUGGGAAGAACACCGGUGGCGAAGGCGGCUCACUGGCUCAUUACUGACGCUCAGGCACGAAAGCUAGGGGAGCGAACAGG